Molecule: ribosomal RNA, 404 nt
Filed under: Bacillota bacterium
Lineage: Bacteria; Bacillati; Bacillota
Description: Firmicutes bacterium partial 16S ribosomal RNA
Rfam family: Bacterial small subunit ribosomal RNA
Source: RNAcentral
UGGGGAAUAUUGGACAAUGGGCGAAAGCCUGAUCCAGCAAUGCCGCGUGAGUGAUGAAGGCCUUAGGGUUGUAAAGCUCUUUUACCCGGGAUGAUAAUGACAGUACCGGGAGAAUAAGCUCCGGCUAACUCCGUGCCAGCAGCCGCGGUAAUACGGAGGGAGCUAGCGUUGUUCGGAAUUACUGGGCGUAAAGCGCACGUAGGCGGCUUUUUAAGUCAGGGGUGAAAUCCCGGGGCUCAACCCCGGAACUGCCCUUGAAACUGGAAAGCUAGAAUCUUGGAGAGGCGAGUGGAAUUCCGAGUGUAGAGGUGAAAUUCGUAGAUAUUCGGAAGAACACCAGUGGCGAAGGCGACUCGCUGGACAAGUAUUGACGCUGAGGUGCGAAAGCGUGGGGAGCAAACAGG